GGUUAAAGGGGAGACGGGGCUGAUUUUUUAGGGGAGAUGCGGCGGGCCGCGCCGGAGAGCGACCUCUGGCGGGAGGAGGCUACUCCCGGUGCGGUCACUAGAGGGGAGUCGGGCGGACGAGGGAGGAAAGUAGAGGCAAGAUGAGGAAGAGAGAGCCGGGGUAGCUCGAGCGGAGCUAGGUACCGGGGAGGAAUUUGGAUCGAGGCCAGAGCCGGUGCUGGCCGGAGUGUCUAGAGCCGGCGGUAGGGGAUGCGGAGGGGGGUGCAGAGGGAGUGGAGCGGGCACGUCGUGGCACCGACGUGCAGCGGACGCGGUAGACGACGUCGGGGCGAGAUUUGGUGAACGUACGGUACCCGUCGCCGGUACCUCCUGUGUGGAGGCGGACGAGUGAGCGGCGACCGGUCGGUCAUGGAGGUGGUUGUAGAGUAGGUAGAUCUAGUCACCGGGAAAUUAAAAUCGCCUAAAAGAAGAAGAAAUGUCGUACGAUUAAUCGAUCCUAUAUCAGAACUAAAGUUAAUAACGUCUUACCGUUAGACGAAAUACAAUCGAAAUAGUAGAGUCCUAUUAGGUCUACAAGAGUAUACGGAACUCCUCAACAGCCACCUAAUAUACGUCUCCGAUGGUUCACCAUCGAGGUUACAACGUUCUCCAGUCAUUACCCACGAAGAAGACCCUACCGAGUGGACUCUAUGGUUGCGACUUCCUAGACUUAAAAGUUCGAGUCGUUCCGGACGUACAACGUCAGACACCCUGCCGGCCGAGACCUUUUAGUUCAAACGAGAGAACUUACCAUACCAAGGUUUCGAUAAUCCUCUCCGGUUCUGAACGUCUUGUUACGGUAUACAGUCGGUCUGACGUACCUAUGUUUCGCUGUUUUAAGUCCUGUUGUAUGACGAGCCGUUCUGCUACCUCUCCCUCUUCAUACCUUCCGAGGAACUCACCACAAGCGAUUUCUUUCUGAACCUCUAGUCUUUAGUAACCUCUCACUCAGACGUGAGAAUCACGGACCGUCUUCGUUUCCUGAGCCUAUCGGGCUCGUAACAUAGUCAUACGAUUGUAGAUAAAUAAGGUACUAGGCAAGUUGCGUCAACUGUAUGUCCUAGGGUUAAAAAGUUCUAGCUACCAAAGCAGCACCAGCCGUCCUCUUUAUAGUAGUUACCAUGCCUUUUUCCGUCCAUCCGACUCCGCCCGCAGGUGUGGCUCGUCGGCUAGGUCCUUUGGUCGGGACGCCGUGGGGGAGCACGGUCAGGGGUAGAGAUACAAACACAGUCCGGAUCACGUUCCAUAACCAUCUUCUCUUCCGGCCUUUCUCUUCGACGUUCCAUCCUCCGAAAACUAGACUUCCGUUCAACCUACUAGACGACUGUUUCUUUGUGGAGAUAAGACUUAAAGAUGAACUUUGUUAACUAGUCUAGUGUUUACAUGGAACCAAUACAGAGAGUGACACACGACUUGUUACAAAACGGAUAAAAGUAGAACCAACGACUGUAACAACCACAAUAGACAGUUUCUUUCAACAACUUCACUUUCUACUUCUACUUGGGCAUCUUCUCGACUUUUUUCCUGCACCAUCUUUCUUCCUUCGCUUCGGAUUUGUCAUAUUACUAAUGACGGAGCGGGUCGGCACGUAGGUUCUACGCUGCGAACGACCUUUCGACCAGUUCAUCCGGGAGCUGACGCUCAAAAUCGACUAACUAGGACGUGUAGUCGGAUUGACGAUGUUAUUUACCUGAAUGUUGUCACUAAGAAAGAUAUAACUUAAAGAUAUAAACUGGCGUGGUAAGGAAUCAAAGGAAAGGACUACAGUUCUGUGUUUCUUAAACUCUAGGUUAAAUAGAAAAAAUCAAAAAUGUGAUCUCACGAAGUAAAUAUACAUAAUGACAUCUGUGUACCCUUAGGAGUUCCACCGUCCGAACAAGUCAAUUUACCAUACAAAAUAGAUCUAACAUUAAAGUCGUAGCAACAAGAAAGGACCAAACAUGAUGAAAAGUCCAAAAUCACAGACCUAGAAGUUAUGCUUUGUUUCAGCUGGCAUAUACAGUUAAGACAUAACCAAGAUCCGUUCAUCCAACUGUACAAGUAGACAAUAGUACUCACAGCACAAAUGUGAACGUCAAGUCUAUAAUGCGAAUUCGAUUUCCAGACUAACAUGACAGAUCUCCAGCUUACCGAUUCGAGAGAAAUACCAGGAAAAACAACUUAUAGAACGUUUACCGUGUGAUUUCACGUCCUUUAAUAAUCCACACACCCAUAGUUAGGUCAUACAAGAAUACAGAUACCUAGGCCC
Molecule: ribosomal RNA, 2287 nt
Filed under: Triticum aestivum (bread wheat)
Lineage: Eukaryota; Viridiplantae; Streptophyta; Magnoliopsida; Poales; Poaceae
Description: partial small subunit ribosomal RNA
Source: RNAcentral